RNAcentral lists this ribosomal RNA (253 nucleotides) under uncultured bacterium. RNAcentral's name for it is "partial 16S ribosomal RNA". It matches the Rfam family "Bacterial small subunit ribosomal RNA", at positions 524 to 776 of the family's 1533-position model. The record is from RNAcentral.
UACGUAGGUGGCAAGCGUUGUCCGGAUUUACUGGGCGUAAAGAGCGCGCAGGCGGUCGUUCAAGUCGCGUGUGAAAGCCCCCGGCUCAACCCGGGAACUGCGUCCGAUACUGGAAGGCUUGAAUCCGGGAGAGGGAUGCGGAAUUCCAGGUGUAGCGGUGAAAUGCGUAGAUAUCUGGAGGAACACCGGUGGCGAAGGCGGCAUCCUGGACCGAGAUUGACGCUGAGGCGCGAAAGCGUGGGGAGCAAACAGG